This 216-nucleotide ribosomal RNA is filed under the name uncultured Leptolinea sp. Its description in RNAcentral is "partial 16S ribosomal RNA". It matches the Rfam family "Bacterial small subunit ribosomal RNA", at positions 1167 to 1382 of the family's 1533-position model. Lineage: Bacteria; Bacillati; Chloroflexota; Anaerolineae; Anaerolineales; Anaerolineaceae. The record is from RNAcentral.
AGGAAGGUGGGGAUGAUGUCAAGUCAGCAUGGCCUUUAUAUCCUGGGCUACACACACGCUACAAUGGCAGAUACAAUAGGUUGCGAAACCGCGAGGUGGAGCCAAUCCUCAAAGUCUGUCUCAGUUCAGAUUGUAGGCUGCAACUCGCCUGCAUGAAGUUGGAGUUGCUAGUAAACGCAGGUCAGCUAUACUGCGUUGAAUACGUUCCCGGGGUUU